GACUAACGCUGGCGGCGUGUCUUAGCCAUGCAAGUCGAACGAUUCGUAAGGUUCGUUUUUUACGAAGAGUGGCGAACUGGUGAGUAACGCGUGGAUAAUCUACUCCCGAGAGGUGAAUAAUUCCGUGAAAACGGGACUAAUGCGCCAUAUCUCCCAAGUAAACUCUGGGAUGAAAGGUGACCUCUGAUUUAAGUUAUCACUUGGGAAUGAGUCCGCGUCCUAUUAGUUUGUUGGCAGGGUAAUUGCCUACCAAGACUAUGAUAGGUAGCCGGCCUAAGAGGGUGACCGGCCACGCUGGGACUGAGACACUGCCCAGACUCCUACGGGAGGCAGCAGGCUAGAAAUUUGCGCAAUGGGCGAAAGCCUGACGCAGCGACGCCGCGUGGAGGAUUAAGGCCUUUACGGUUGUAAACUCCUUUUAGUAAGGAUGAAGCUUGAAAGAACCAAUAAUUCUUUCAAGUGACAUUACUUGCAGAAAAAGCUCCGGCUAACUCCGUGCCAGCAGCCGCGGUAAUACGGAGGGAGCGAGCGUUGUCCGGAAUUACUGGGCGUAAAGGGGGUCUAGGUGGAUUCUUAAGUCAGAUGUGAAAUAUCCAGGCUCAACUUGGAACAUGCAUCUGAAACUGGGAAUCUUGAGCACAGUAGAGGAGAGUGGAACUCUCAGUGUAGCGGUGGAAUGCGUAGAUAUUGAGAGGAACACCUUUGGCGAAGGCAGCUCUCUGGGCUGUUGCUGACACUCAAGCCCGAAAGCUGGGGUAGCAAACAGGAUUAGAUACCCUGGUAGUCCCAGCUGUAAACGAUGGACACUUGGUGUUGGGUGUAAUACUCGGUGCCGUAGUUAACGCGUUAAGUGUCCCGCCUGGGGAGUACGGUCGCAAGGCUGAGACUCAAAGGAAUUGACGG
Molecule: ribosomal RNA, 903 nt
Filed under: uncultured bacterium
Lineage: Bacteria
Description: bacterial SSU rRNA
Rfam family: Bacterial small subunit ribosomal RNA
Source: RNAcentral